CCUACGGGAGGCAGCAGUGGGGAAUAUUGCACAAUGGGGGAAACCCUGAUGCAGCAACGCCGCGUGAGUGAAGAAGGAUUUAGGUAUGGAAAGCUCUAUUAGCAGGGAAGAAAAUGACAAUACCUGAAUAAGAAUCACCGGCUAACUACGUGCCAGCAGCCGCGGUAAUACGGAGGGAGCAAGCGUUAUCCGGAUUUACUGGGUGUAAAGGGAGCGUAGACGGCUGCGUAAGUCAGAAGUCAAAGCCCGGGGCUCAACCUCGGGACUGCUUUUGAAACUGUGUAGCUAGAGAGUAGGCGAGGUAAGCGGAAUGUCUGGUGUAGCGGUGAAAUGCUUAGAGAUUAGGAGGAACACCGGUGGCGAAGGCAGCUUAC
RNAcentral lists this ribosomal RNA (374 nucleotides) under uncultured bacterium. RNAcentral describes it as "partial 16S ribosomal RNA". It matches the Rfam family "Bacterial small subunit ribosomal RNA", at positions 338 to 729 of the family's 1533-position model. The record is from RNAcentral.